UACGUAGGUGGCAAGCGUUGUCCGGAUUUACUGGGCGUAAAGAGCGCGCAGGUGGUUCGUCGCGUCGUGCGUGAAAGACCCCGGCUCAACUGGGGAGGGUCGUGCGAUACGGGCGGACUGGAGGCCAGUAGGGGGAUGCGGAAUUCCGGGUGUAGUGGUGGAAUGCGUAGAGAUCCGGAGGAACACCAGCGGCGAAGGCGGCAUCCUGGACUGGUCCUGACACUCAGGAGCGAAAGCGUGGGGAGCGAUCCGG
Molecule: ribosomal RNA, 253 nt
Filed under: uncultured bacterium
Lineage: Bacteria
Description: partial 16S ribosomal RNA
Rfam family: Bacterial small subunit ribosomal RNA
Source: RNAcentral